This is an unclassified non-coding RNA of Carlito syrichta (Philippine tarsier), 234 nucleotides long. Lineage: Eukaryota; Metazoa; Chordata; Mammalia; Primates; Tarsiidae. The record is from Ensembl.
GCUUUGGAAGAAAUUCUGAAGUAAAGAUUCCUCAUUUAAAAAAUUUAAAACAAAACAAGCAAAAAUAUCAAACAGGAAGUUUUGUGGCAAUGAACUAAAUACAGAUUUUUUUUUUUAAGGAAACCAAAUUAAGUCUAAAACCUGUGGCAAAUUUGUACUUUCUCCUUAAAUUACAUUGCUUUCAAAGAAAAUGUUUGAAAAGGACUGGUAAAUCAUUAUCAAAACUGAAAUGGG